RNAcentral lists this ribosomal RNA (494 nucleotides) under uncultured bacterium. Its description in RNAcentral is "partial 16S ribosomal RNA". It matches the Rfam family "Bacterial small subunit ribosomal RNA", at positions 28 to 507 of the family's 1533-position model. The record is from RNAcentral.
GACGAACGCUGGCGGCGCGCUUAGCGCAUGCAAGUCGAACGGAAAGGCCUGCUUUCCCUUGUGGAUUGCGGGUACUCGAGUGGCGAACGGGUGAGUAACACGUGAGUGAUCUGCCCCCAACUUGGGUAUAAGCCUGGGAAACUGGGUCUAAUUCCCGAUAGGACUGCAGGGUGGUGCCUGUGGUGGAAAACGAUUUUCUAGUGGUUGGGGAUGAGCUCGCGGCCUAUCAGCUUGUUGGUGGGGUAAUGGCCUACCAAGGCGGCGACGGGUAGCCGGCCUGAGAGGGUGGACGGCCACAUUGGGACUGGGAUACGGCCCAGACUCCUACGGGAGGCAGCAGUGGGGAAUAUUGCACAAUGGGCGGAAGCCUGAUGCAGCGACGCCGCGUGGGGGAUGACGGCCUUCGGGUUGUAAACUCCUUUCGACCGCGAGGAAGCCACCUGGUUGGAAGGGUGGUGACGGUAGUGGUAGAAGAAGCACCGGCUAACUACGUG